GGGGAUGUUUUGGAUUUGACAGGACGUUCGGUGGAUACAGAUUGCGAGUCCGAGAGCUGUUCUCGGUUAUCAACGGGCAAAACAAAUUAAAUGCUAACAAUGUAAUUAAAGCAGAUUUCGCACCUAGAGCAUACGCUUUGGCUGCCUAAUCGCUAUUUAGCUACUGAUAAGGCCCAGCUUGCCGGUUUUAUCAGUCCAUUAUGCAAGCGGCAGUGUGUUGAUGAUAGUAGGCGCAUCAAGACAAACUAUCAAAAGUUAGUGUUUCUUUAAAAAGCACUUUGGGUUCGGAUAAAGGUUUUGAUAUUUCCUUAGAACUUGAGCAAAUUAAUAUCUACACUCGUAGACGUUUGUGGAAAUCCGUUUUGGACAGGGGUUCAAUUCCCCUCAUCUCCACCA
RNAcentral lists this transfer-messenger RNA (396 nucleotides) under bovine gut metagenome. It matches the Rfam family "transfer-messenger RNA". Rfam says of the family: Bacterial tmRNA, also known as 10Sa RNA or SsrA, is named for its dual tRNA and mRNA-like properties. The record is from RNAcentral.